Molecule: long non-coding RNA, 771 nt
Organism: Daphnia pulex (common water flea)
Lineage: Eukaryota; Metazoa; Arthropoda; Branchiopoda; Diplostraca; Daphniidae
Exons: 4
Source: RefSeq, a predicted model, not a curated record
ACUUUUUGGUUGGUUAAAAUGCAAAAUGGUUAUGACCGAAGAAAAGAAACUUGAGUUGAUUUCUUUAUCACUAUUCCAUGGAAUAUUUGUUGUUAAGACUAUGUGAAAUGGAAAGAAUAUAAAAAAACGGACACAGACAAACAAUUAUGCACACAUUAUGCAUGGAAAUAUUUCGAAACAGGAUGUUGAAGAUCUCAAGAGGUCACUAUUUUACUGUCUUGUAGGUCUGAAUGCCAUCUCUGAUUUAGAAGAAGGUGUGCUCUAUCAUAGAUAGUUCAGUUUGCAAAAGGGAAUUUUUGACACAGACCUGUCUUUACAAAGUCCAAAACUACUUUAGCGUAAGGGCUGGAAGAACUGUCAAUUGAAGAAUGUCAAAAUUGUCGGAGAUCAAAAAAAGAAAACAGAAGACGGAUGGUGACGUCUCUUACUAACAGAUACAACACAGAAGAAUAUCGUUGAGUCUGGACCUUACCCCAACAAGGAUGGUGAAGGAGUCUUGUCCUGUCCUCUUUCCCAAUUGUUGACUCUCUAAAAAGAACAUCCCAAUGGAGAAGAACAUAUCUAAAAUGUUACAUGUCAGUUUUCAGCUGCAAUGUUGGUGGAGGAAUAACGCUGGACAGAUCAAGCUGAAUUAUUCACAUCCAAAACAUCAAACAAAGAAAAAGUGAAUCAUAUUGUUGGAAAAUGUUUAGUGACUGUAUUCUAGGUAAUUGAAUUUGUACAAAUUUUUAAGCUAAUAAAACUGUCUUUAUCUUUUGUGAUAACGAAUAA